GGGUGAGUAACGCGUAAAGAACUUGCCUCACGGAUAGGGACAACAUUUGGAAACGAAUGCUAAUACCUGAUAUUAUGAUUUUAGGGCAUCCUAGGAUUAUGAAAGCUAUAUGCGCUGUGAGAGAGCUUUGCGUCCCAUUAGCUAGUUGGAGAGGUAACGGCUCACCAAGGCGAUGAUGGGUAGCCGGCCUGAGAGGGUGAUCGGCCACAAGGGGACUGAGACACGGCCCUUACUCCUACGGGAGGCAGCAGUGGGGAAUAUUGGACAAUGGACCAAGAGUCUGAUCCAGCAAUUCUGUGUGCACGAUGAAGUUUUUCGGAAUGUAAAGUGCUUUCAGUUGGGAAGAAAAAAAUGACGGUACCAACAGAAGAAGUGACGGCUAAAUACGUGCCAGCAGCCGCGGUAAUACGUAUGUCACAAGCGUUAUCCGGAUUUAUUGGGCGUAAAGCGCGUCUAGGUGGUUAUAUAAGUCUGAUGUGAGAAUGCAGGGCUCAACUCUGUAUUGCGUUGGAAACUGUGUAACUAGAGUACUGGAGAGGUAAGCGGAACUACAAGUGUAGAGGUGAAAUUCGUAGAUAUUUGUAGGAAUGCCGAUGGGGAAGCCAGCUUACUGGACAGAUACUGACGCUGAAACGCGAAAGCGUGGGUAGCAAACANGAUUAAAUACCCUGGUAGUCCACGCCGUAAACGAUGAUUACUA
Molecule: ribosomal RNA, 700 nt
Filed under: uncultured bacterium
Lineage: Bacteria
Description: bacterial SSU rRNA
Rfam family: Bacterial small subunit ribosomal RNA
Source: RNAcentral